This 1773-nucleotide long non-coding RNA is filed under the name Macaca mulatta (Rhesus monkey). Its description in RNAcentral is "lncRNA (ENSMMUG00000061995.1)". The record is from RNAcentral. Lineage: Eukaryota; Metazoa; Chordata; Mammalia; Primates; Cercopithecidae.
AACUGCGCACAAUAGCGGCCGGCUCCUCUAUCUAUUUUGUGUCCAGCCGGAGCCGCGCGCGAUGAUUCAUUGCCCCAAUUAGGGGCUCUCUCCAGCGCGCCCGGCUCAAGCCGUCUGAAGGGUCUCCUGGGGGACCCGCCGAAACCCAUCAGCGGCUGGAGCUGGUCUUUAAGUAAAGGUCAAGCAGGACGCGGGAGGAGCCAGGGUGAGGCUCUGCAUGGUGAGGAAGCCCAUCAGUGGACACGCUUGGACCCAAGACCUGUGUGUGCAUCCUGGGACUGCCACCCACAUGCUGCAAGACCCAGGGCAAGGGUCUUCACCUCUCUGAGCCUCAGUUUCCCUCAUCUAUGAGGCCCGGAAUGCCACUUCUGAAUACUCUGUCCCAUAUUUUUGCCUUUCCUGGAAUUUCCUGCCGGCGGAGUCACACAGUCACAGCUCACGGUUGCAGUCCCAUGCCUGGCUUCCUUCAUCAGCAUCUUGUUUUUGAGACUCUUCCAAGCUGCUGCGUGCAUGGGUCAUUCUUUCCUCAUCCCACUCCAGGAUGACACCACGGUGUGUUUCCCCAGCUCGUGUGGAUGGAUAUUUGGAUCGUUGCCAGCUCAAAGUUAUUCUGGAGAAAGAUGCUGUGAACAUUUGUGCACAGGUCUUUGGACGUGUGUUCUCAUUUCUCCUGGAUAAAUACCUAAAAGUGGAACUGCUGGGUGACACGGCAGGUGUUGACCCUGAGUGGAGCUGGUUUAGCCUCAGUUUACCUUAUUUAUUUAUUUAUUUAAAGACAGAGUCUCACGCGGUCACCCAGGCUGGAGUGCAGUGGCGCGAUCUCAGCUCACUGCAACCUUCGCCUCCCAGGUUCAAGUGAUUCUCAUGCCUGAGCCUCCUGAGCAGCUGGGAUCACAGGCUCCCACCACCACGCCAAGCUGAUUUUUUGUAUUUUUAGUAGAGACAGGUUUUCGCCGUGUUGGCCAGGCUGGUCUCGAACUCCCGACCUCAGGCAAUCCACCCGCCUCGGCCUCCCAAAGUGCUAGGAUUGCAGGCGUGAGGCACCGUGCCCGGCCAGUUUCCUUAUCUUUAUAAUGGGAAUUAAAAAGUUGGCAUGCAUCAGCAGGUGAACAGAUAAACAAAACAUGAUGUGUCCACACCAUGGAGCAUUAUUUGGCCAUGAAAAGGAAUGAUGGCCCUUGACAACAUAUGCCAGGAGACAGAAGCCAGACACGAGGCCACACACUGAUCCCAUUGACAUGAAAUACCCAGAACAGGCAAUCCACAGAGACAGAAAGCAGUUUAGUGGCUGUUUAGGGCUGGGGGCCAAGGGGAUGGGGAACCACUGCUCGUGGAGACAGGGUUUUCCUUUUGGAGUGAUGAGCAUGUUGUGAGAUGAGAUACAGGUGGUGGCUGCACAACCUCAUGGCUGCACUGAACGCCACUAAAUUGUACCCUUUAAAAUGGUUAAAGUGGGCUGGGCAUGGCGGCUCACGCCUGUAAUCCCAGCACCUUAAGAGGCCAAGGCAGGCAGAUCAUGAGGUCAGGAGAUCAAGACCAUCUGGCCAACAUGUUGAAACCCUGUCUCUACUAAAAAUACAAAAAUUAGCUGGGUGUGGUGGAACACGCCUGCAGUCCCAGCUACCCGGGAGGCUGAGGCAGGAGAACUGCUUGAACCCGGGAGUCCGAGGUUGCAGUGAGCCUAGAUCGUACUACUGCACUCCAGCCUGGCAGGAGAGCGAGACUCUGUCUCAAAAAAAUAUGUAAAUAAAAUAAAAUGGUUAAGGUGGUGAA